GGCAGUGUAGCCAAGUGGUUACGGCGUCACGUUUAGGCAUCAGCUAAAACCGUGAUGGGUUUCCCGCGCGAGUUCGAAUCUCGUCACUGUCA
RNAcentral lists this transfer RNA (92 nucleotides) under Grifola frondosa (maitake). It matches the Rfam family "tRNA". From Rfam's summary of the family: Transfer RNA (tRNA) molecules are approximately 80 nucleotides in length. Their secondary structure includes four short double-helical elements and three loops (D, anti-codon, and T loops). The record is from Rfam by way of RNAcentral. Lineage: Eukaryota; Fungi; Basidiomycota; Agaricomycetes; Polyporales; Grifolaceae.